GAUGAACGCUAGCUACAGGCUUAACACAUGCAAGUCGAGGGGAAACGAUAGAGAAAGCUUGCUUUUGCUAGGCGUCGACCGGCGCACGGGUGAGUAACGCGUAUCCAACCUGCCCAUCACUUGGGGAUAACCUUGCGAAAGUAAGACUAAUACCCAAUGACGUCUCUAGAAGACAUCUGCAAGAGAUUAAAGAGUUAUCGUUAAAGGAUGGGGAUGCGUGUGAGUAGCUUGUUGGCGGGGUAACGGCCAACCAAGGCGACGCUCAGUAGGGGUUCUGAGAGAAGGUCCCCCACAUUGGAACUGAGACACGGUCCAAACUCCUACGGGAGGCAGCAGUGAGGAAUAUUGGUCAAUGGGCGAGAGCCUGAACCAGUCAAGUAGCGUGCAGGAUGACGGCCCUAUGGGUUGUAAACUGCUUUUAUAAGGGAAAAAAGUGAGUCUCGUGAGACUUUUUGCAUGUACCUUAUGAAUAAGGACCGGCUAAUUCCGUGCCAGCCGCCGCAGUAA
Molecule: ribosomal RNA, 507 nt
Filed under: uncultured bacterium
Lineage: Bacteria
Description: partial 16S ribosomal RNA
Rfam family: Bacterial small subunit ribosomal RNA
Source: RNAcentral